GAUUUUCAGCCUGGGCACUAGCAACAUGGCAGACUGGUCACCAUGUCUUUAUUUGGGGGGACUGUCAUGCAUUGUAGGUAUGUUCAGCAGCUUCUGACCCCUGUCCUAUAGAUACACCACCUCUCCACCCAUCUUGACAGCCAAAAAAACAUCUCCAGACAUUGCUAAAUGUCUCCUGUGGUGCAAAACUCACCACCAUUUGAGAAGCCCUAGAAGAAGUAAGGAGGUGGUCCCAGUCUGAGAGAUUCCCUCCAAUGACACAUUUUGGGGGAGCUGGCAGUGAGCUAUCCAGGUGCAAGGAAACGGACUGACUGCACUCAAUGGUUCCACAAGACUCCCUUGCAAUCAAAACACCCAUUGGAAAUGUCACCUGCACCAGGUGGAUAAAGGAGGCAGAUGGCUUCAAGCCUGCACCAAGGCUCAGCCAAUGGAGGUUUCAAUUGAUGCGGACUACACAGUGAAAUAAAGGGAAAGUCCUUCUCAAGCCACAACUGAGCCCAUGUCUUCUGGCAGCACCUGAGAGUUCUAAAGAGACAGGGGCCCAGAAGAGAAGCGCAGCUCAUCCUUCAUGUGACUAUUUAAGCUUGAACCAGGAAGGGUGACAACUGCAGGGGUGGCCACUGAGUUCCAUGGAUGGAAGCAGCACUGGGUCAUUGCUGUGGGACCCAGGAGAUGCUGGAAUUUCUUGGCCCUCUGUUGGACCCAAGCGCUGGCUUCUGCUUUCUGCCAGAACAAAACUUCUACUUCCCACCACUCUGCAGAGUCCCCAAGGCCGCCCUGGGCCAGAUGCUCCCCCAGAUGGUGAGCACAGGUGGACGGGGGCCACACCUGGCCAUGAGCUUCCAAUCAAGGACUGGGGACCAAGACAGGGGCCACGCAGCCGGGAGGCUCCAUCGCUCUGGAAGUCAUGGCAGGAGGGACAGUUGGUUAGAAGAACUUGAACUGGAAGCAAGCGAGACUGCAGGGGCAGCAAGGAGGGCUGCAGAGCUGCCAAGACAGGCUUCCAGGAUCAGAGGCAGAAGAGUCACAAUGGCCAUCUGUGAGAUCAGAGGUGAAGAAUCCAAAAUGGCGUUCUGCAUGCUGUGGAGCUGGAGGAUCCAGUAGCAAAGGCUGAAGGCCUGGAAGCUCACUGCAGAGUUGCUGGUGUGAGUCUACACUGGGAGGUAGAGUCUGCACGGGGAGACUGAAGAAACUGGAGACAAGCAUCCAAAGGCAAAGACAAAGACUGGAGCUCUUCUGCAAAAAGGACGGGCACACAUUUUCUUCUUUCCCUUUUUAUUCUGUUCAGGCUACUGGGGUGGGGUUCCCCCUUAGUUUCCUAGUGUACACAUCAGUCAUCCACUCACACACCCAGAACUCACUACUCUGCUAGUCUAUUCAAGUCAAAUUGACGUAGCACAAUUAAGGAUCACAGCACUUAAUUCAAUGUCAGGAACAGGCUGGUCCCUGAAUCUCUUGUUUUAGAAAAGGUUAUCAAAUUGAUUCUGAUGUACAGCUUGGAAACUACAAGCCUAAGCCAGACUGUUUCAUAAGAGAGGAAACCAGAUUCCAGAAAGUAGGAAAGGGAUUGCUGUGUCCUAGGUCAAUGCCAUGGAUAAGGGUUUUAGUAAUAGCAAGGUAUAUAG
RNAcentral lists this long non-coding RNA (1625 nucleotides) under Heterocephalus glaber (naked mole-rat). RNAcentral's name for it is "lncRNA (ENSHGLG00100042455.1)". The record is from RNAcentral. Lineage: Eukaryota; Metazoa; Chordata; Mammalia; Rodentia; Bathyergidae.